CUGGUAUGUCUCUGUUUUUUCUUCUUCCAUUUUCUGUUUCUAUGUAACCUUCUCUCUCGAAUUUCUUUUUCUUCAAAUUUUGCUUCUUUGAUCCUUUAGCUUUGACAAAACCAAAGUAACAAAAGUUAUCCUGUUUGGUCUCUGUUGUGAAUCGUGCUCUGCUUUGUUUGUGACUCCAAAAUGCGGAUUUGAAACCAGAAUAUCUGAGCUGAAUUCGGGCAUGCAUGCGCUUCUUUUAUCUGGAAUUUUUAAGACUUUGGUUCUAAAUCCCCCAACUUUGGGUUAACUGUCAAUCUACAAUUUUAUAUUAACAGAGUUAGCUUAGCAAUGGAGCCGUCAGAAGAGGGUCAACAGCAGCAGGGAAUGAUGGAUUAUGUACCUCCUCAUGCUUAUCAGAGUGGGCCAGUAAAUGCUGCGUCUCAUAUGCCAUUCCAACAAGCUCACCACUUCCACCACCACCACCAUCAGCAACAACAGCAGCAGCAGCUUCAGAUGUUCUGGGCUAACCAAAUGCAAGAGAUCGAGCAUACCACUGAUUUCAAGAACCACACCCUUCCGCUGGCCCGCAUCAAGAAGAUCAUGAAAGCUGAUGAAGAUGUGAGGAUGAUCUCUGCGGAGGCUC
Molecule: long non-coding RNA, 622 nt
Filed under: Arabidopsis lyrata
Lineage: Eukaryota; Viridiplantae; Streptophyta; Magnoliopsida; Brassicales; Brassicaceae
Description: long non-coding RNA (ALYR_LNC003355)
Source: RNAcentral